Chenopodium quinoa (quinoa) is the source of this 615-nucleotide long non-coding RNA. RefSeq lists it as uncharacterized. The record is from RefSeq and is a predicted model, not a curated record. The transcript has 2 exons. NCBI's taxonomy places the organism in Eukaryota, Viridiplantae, Streptophyta, Magnoliopsida, Caryophyllales, Amaranthaceae.
CCCGUGGCAAUAAUCAAUUAAAAAAAACCGCCCCCCUUAUAAAUGCCAAACCCUACCUCAUUUCCCUUUCAGCCGCUCUUUAUCUCUUCUGCUCUCCCCUCUUCUCUUUCUCUCUCCUGCUCUCCCCUCUAUUCUUUCUCUUUCAAUUCGUCUUCUCUUUUCUCAUCUCCUUUUCUUCAAUCUCCUUCUUCGAUCUCCUCCUUCACCUUCUCUUGCUCUUCGCCUUCGUCUCAUUCUCCCUCUUCUCCUUCGAUCUCCCCGUCUCCUUCUCCUUCGAUCUCCUCGUCUCCUUCUCUUUCAUUUCCACCAUCACCAAGACCACCACCGCAACAAUAAACCACGAAGACAUGCACGAGGUAUAUUGAUUUAGAAGUAGAUGUUAAAUCGAAGAAUAAAGAUGCAGGAUUAUUGAUUUAGGUGUUCUAUGGGUUGUUUUUUAAUUUUAAUGUUGUAAUUUUUUUUUUGUUUUUUAUUGUAAUUUUUUUUUUAUUUUAAUGUUCAAAUUUUAGUUUUGUGUAAUUUGAUUAAUUUAGUUGUAGUUAUUAAUUUAGUUUUUUCACUCUUAAAAAUUGUACAAUUACUAGAUACUGAUGAAUAUAUAUGUGUUUUUAUGUA